CCUACGUGUGGCUGCAGUAGGGAAUCUUCCACAAUGGGUGAAAGCCUGAUGGCGCAACGCCGCGUGGGUGAAGAAGGUCUUCGGAUCGUAAAACCCUGUUGUUAGAGAAGAAAGUGCGUGAUAGUAACUGUCCACGUUUCGACGGUAUCUAACCAGAAAGCCACGGCUAACUACGUGCCAGCAGCCGCGGUAAUACGUAGGUGGCAAGCGUUAUCCGGAUUUAUUGGGCGUAAAGGGAACGAAGGCGGUCUUUUACGUCUGAUGUGAACGCCUUAGGCUUAACGGGAGUAGUGCAUUGGAAACUGGGAGACGUGAGUGCAGAAGAGGAGAGUGGAACUCCAUGUGUAGCGGUGAAAUGCGUAGAUAUAUGGAAGAACACCAGUGGCGAAAGCGGCUCUCUGGUCUGUAACUGACGCUGAGGUUCGAAAGCGUGGGUAGCAAACAGGAUUAGAUACACCAGUAGUC
RNAcentral lists this ribosomal RNA (465 nucleotides) under uncultured bacterium. RNAcentral's name for it is "partial 16S ribosomal RNA". It matches the Rfam family "Bacterial small subunit ribosomal RNA", at positions 338 to 795 of the family's 1533-position model. The record is from RNAcentral.